This 378-nucleotide ribosomal RNA is filed under the name uncultured bacterium. RNAcentral describes it as "bacterial SSU rRNA". It matches the Rfam family "Bacterial small subunit ribosomal RNA", at positions 30 to 414 of the family's 1533-position model. The record is from RNAcentral.
AUUGAACGCUGGCGGAAUGUUUUACACAUGCAAGUCGAACGGUAGAGGGGGCAACCCCCUUGAGAGUGGCGAACGGGUGAGUAAUAUAUCGGAACGUGCCCAGUCGUGGGGGAUAACGUAGCGAAAGUUACGCUAAUACCGCAUACGAACUAAGGUUGAAAGUGGGGGAUCGCAAGACCUCAUGCUCAUGGAGUGGCCGAUAUCUGAUUAGCUAGUUGGUGAGGUAAAGGCUCACCAAGGCGACGAUCAGUAGCUGGUUUGAGAGAACGACCAGCCACACUGGAACUGAGACACGGUCCAGACUCCUACGGGAGGCAGCAGUGGGGAAUUUGGACAUGGCGCAAGCCUGAUCCAGCAAUGCCGCGUGCAGGAUGAAGG